RNAcentral lists this ribosomal RNA (231 nucleotides) under uncultured bacterium. Its description in RNAcentral is "partial 16S ribosomal RNA". It matches the Rfam family "Bacterial small subunit ribosomal RNA", at positions 118 to 347 of the family's 1533-position model. The record is from RNAcentral.
UGGGCAACCUGCCCCAGACUCUGGGAUAACUCCGGGAAACCGGGGCUAAUACCGGAUACUCCGAUCGGACGACAUCGUCUGACCGGGAAAGCUCCGACGGUCUGGGAUGGGCCCGCGGCCUAUCAGCUUGUUGGCGAGGUAACGGCUCACCAAGGCGACGACGGGUAGCUGGUCUGAGAGGACGACCAGCCACACUGGAACUGAGAUACGGUCCAGACCUCCGUACGGGAG